AUUCGAACAUAUGUGACCCCCCCAAACUUGAGUCCUUGCUACCACAGAUUUGAUGUUCGCUAUCUAAUUAUAACCAUAAAAGCUAACUUAUAAUACAAAUAAGUUAUAUAAACAUUCAUUAAUUACAUAAUUUAAUCUUAUAUUUCCGAGUCUUAAUUAUAAUCAAUGCUAUAAAUAUUACAUAAUUUUUUUCAUCAUUUCCAAAAUAUUACAUUACUUAAAUUAAUUAAUACAUUCAUAAUUAUUUAGUCUUCCUGGGUUGUUUUGCCUUUCCCCCCUGUCCUUCGUACCGUACCCGAUUCCUCGAAUCCUUCUGUGUUUAACUGUAAAUAUGAAAUUCGCAAGUGUGAGUAACUAAUUUGCUCGAUCAACAAGUAUAAAUAUUUAAAAUACCAUAAGAACAACCACACUUGAAAUAAAUACUGAUAAUUGAAAAAGAAUCCUUAAUAGACAUGUGAUUGAAAAGCAUUAAAUAUAGUAUCAAUUGUCUAUAAUACCCUUCACUUUACUUAUCUCAUAAAUAUGGAUCAAAAGAUUAGGUGGAGUAAUAAAGGGCAAUUUGGGAAAAAUAGUAAUCAAUUCUCCUAGAUAACCACAAACGACAAAUAAUUAGGAAUAUAAAAAAAAGUCUAAAACGACCUACAUAUAAGAAUGGAUGGAGUAUAACAUUUGUCAAUUGAAGAAUAAUAAAUUUCUAAACUGGAAAUCUCAUAUUUAAUUGAACUUUCGAAUCUCAACUGAGCGGUUGGAUCAUGAACUAUCUUAAAUGUUCAUCAGUUAUACAUUGAGAACUCUCUAAUAAUAAAACUAGGAGUUGAACUUAACAAUACUCCAUGUUACAUGUAACACCAUCUCCACAAUAUAGUUUAAUAGUGUAAUGUAAGUUAUCCAAAAACAUCACAAUAUUCUCUAUUUCUAAGAUUAUUUUACUCAAUUAUAUAUCAGAGUCAGCACCAAACAAUUUGGAUCGGAUUACAUUAGAAUAUCUUCAAAGAAUCAUUAACAAAUCAAUAAUUGAUAGAAUCACAUCAAUUGAGUCCAGUCAAACACAUCUCAUAAAAUAGUUCAAUAUACACGAGCUUUAAAGAACAAAAUCCAUGUUCAAAGUUUACUUCUUUCGUCUAAAUUACUUUUUUGUCUCCACCAAAGGAUUUACAUAAUUAAGUCAUCUAGUAAUAUUUUUAAUACUUAUUGUCGAUAACUACUCAUAAUCUCGUUCCGAUAUUUUCAAGCAACAUAAACUCAUUCUCGAGCACUAACUUAACCCAUAUUUAUAAUCUUAGUAUCAAAAUGUCCAUUUAGUCCCCACUUAAGCUUACAUGUUUUAUUUUAACAUGUAUUAAUUAUCGAUAAAAUGCAUUAUACGUUUUUCGGUAACUUUUAAAUUAAAUUCUUAAGCCGUAUUUCCUCUAUUAACCCCUUUUAUUAUUUUUAUUCCUUCUGACCCCACCUAGGAAAUUAUAUUUUAAAUCAUUUUUUAUUUUUCCAAAUUUUUCUAAUAUCUUUAAUAUUUAUUUUAUGCUAGUUUCAGUCCAAUAUUGCAAAAUUCAUUAAAAUUCAAAAUUAUGUCCCACUAAUCAUGAAUUUUGGACAGUAGCCUCUCUACAUCCAAAUUUACUUCCACUCAAAAUUUUAUCACAUUCACUACAAGAAAAAAAAGUUAUUUUCUUCCUUCAAAAUCAACUUAUUUUCGACGGAAAGUUUCAUUGGAAAUUCGGCCGAAAAUAUACAGGUCGGAAAUAAGUUCGUCGAGAAUUCUGUCAGAAAGAGAUCCACAACCAAGAUUCAUCAUGUUUAUGUUUAAACAAGUGUGAUUCAUGUUUUAUCUACCUAGAUGAAAGUCAUUUAAAAGAAAAGUUGGAUCUAGGAUGAUUUAGGGUUUACCUCUUGUAGUGAUUGCUUUACUUUCUUGCCCUUGAUCUUCUAACUCUUGCUCCUUGAUUGGCUUGAAACCUCUCAUCCUCCUGCUAUAUAUAUAUGGCUGUUGAAAUCUCCCUCUCAAUCUCUCUCUCUCUCUCUCUCUGUUUGUGAAAUGCGUUGGUGAAAGUAGAGAAAUGAAGCUAUUAUGUAUAGACAAAGUUUGGCAUUUCAAUUUCUUUCCCCAAAUCUUGGUAUUCAUAGUCAAAUCUCUUCAUCUUUCUUUAUUUCACUGUUUUUCCAAUAGUUAACUAGAGUAAUGCACCAUAAUUUAUAAGUAAUCUUAUGGUGUAGGGUUUAAUAAAGUGUUUAAAGCUUUCAAUUUGUAAGUUUGGUGGCCAAUAUGACCACAUCUCUUCCCUGGGCUCUUAACAACUCUAAAGUGGGCAAGUAAGGGCUG
RNAcentral lists this long non-coding RNA (2317 nucleotides) under Panax ginseng (ginseng). RNAcentral's name for it is "long non-coding RNA (PGIN_LNC016559)". Lineage: Eukaryota; Viridiplantae; Streptophyta; Magnoliopsida; Apiales; Araliaceae. The record is from RNAcentral.